This 2105-nucleotide long non-coding RNA is filed under the name Homo sapiens (human). RNAcentral's name for it is "non-protein coding lnc-LMF1-3:10". Lineage: Eukaryota; Metazoa; Chordata; Mammalia; Primates; Hominidae. The record is from RNAcentral.
CCGUCCCCGAGGGUGGCUCGGAUCCUUUCAACCAGCGCGCUGGAGGCGAAGGGGCUGCGCCAUUCCGGGUCAGGCAGCCAACGCGGGACACGCGCGUCUCCGAGCUUGCGGCCCGCGAAACCCGGGUGACCUACCGCGCCGGUGCCCUCAAAGCCCCCACGCCCGGGCCGGUGGCCGCUGCAGCCACUGAGCCACGCGGUCUCCCCGGCCCGGUCGGCAGAAGGAGCUGGUCCGUUACUAGAAAAGUCCAGAUGCAAAGUCGGGGGUCGUGCUGCCGCUUCCUGCCAGCGCACCGCACCCACCUGGGGCCGCCACCGACCGCACAGGACGCGCCUCCUACCCCCUGUUCUGGCCCGGCCGAGAGCUGGUGCCCCCAGCGGCCGCCCGCCCCCGUCCGCAGACCCCGGGGCCCUUGCUGCUUUGCAUUGGGAACAACCGGAGCCAGGCCCGGAGCUGAGGGGGCCAGGGCCUUUGGAGGAAGCAUUGGCCUCCAGGCUGAAGAGCAAGGGCCGUGUCACCUGCCCGGAGGGCGGUCUCAUCUCUGCAGCCAGGUCAGAGGAAGCAGCGGUGGGGAGACGGAGUGCGCGAGUUGGGAGGCUCCACGCAUCGUAGGUGGAGAGCUGGCUGCCAGCCUGGCCUGCCCUCUCUUCCCCGUCCCACCAUCUCGCUUGGCUCCGGCACCUGCCUGGGAAGACCCACACCUCCGUCUGCAGUGCCUCUUCCCCCUGGAGGCCCUGCCCUCCGCUCGGGGUCCCCGCAUCCUUCCGUGGCCCUCAGAGCAUCGCCUGGGGCGCCCGCGGAACUCAUCUGUUAGGCCUGGGAUGCAGGCAGGCAGAAGUGGGGGUUUAAGUGGAAGCAGUGAGGGUGGGGGUCCGGUCCAAACUGUGCCACCUUCCACCCCCUGCCCCUGGGAGAGCAGACAUCGCCCACUCGGGCUCACAGUGCCAUCCGGGUGAGGACCUCCGUGGAGAGCUCUCUUUGCCAAAGAAAAGCAGUUGCAUUAGGUCUGCGAGCAGGCAGGGUGGCCUCUUCCUGGCUCCCCAUCCACCAAGGAAGCUUCAAGUCCCUGGGACACAGGCACUUUCCCACACAGGAUGGAGCCGGGCCACCCUCACAGCUCCUGCCCUGCAGACGCUGGCCUUGUGGAGGGAGGCAGGCAGCAGGAGCAGUGCUUUCUGGGCCUCUGUAGCCAGAGCUGGCCCUGCUGCAGCUUACGUCUGCCUGCAGCCCAGACGUCCUCCUGGUCCUCCUGAUGCCCCCGACCUCCACGGAGGACGAGCAUUUCCAGCCCAGCCCUCCCCAUCUUCACCUCGCACUCCCCUGACACACUGGGAGCCUCCUGAUCCGUGAACCCGCGCUGGCGGGAGUAGCUACUGACCGCUGGGGACCCCUGCCCAGGCUGUUCGCAUGUGGAAAGGAUUCAGGGAGCAGGCGAUGCCCAAAGCGUGGAGACCAGCACUGCUCUCUCCCCAGUGACAGUGCAGUACAGCUGUGCCGUGUACAGGAGGGUGCUGUCUGACGCCAGACACCUGGACUACAGAUCGCAGCCUGAUUCCUGGUCAUUGCUCCACUGAACCCCAGACCCCAGCCUCGUUCUGGGCCCUCAUCCCCUAGAUCCAGGGACCCCAGCCCCAUUUCAGCCCUUGGGCCCUUGUAGGAUGCGAGGCCCUGGGCCCCAGCCCCCAGCCCAUCCGUGGCCCAGGCACUGGGGGGCUGAGGUCCUCUGAGAAGGGACACAGGGCCUGGGGGGCUCUCUCAGCCCAUCAGCAGGAGAGGACUGACUCCAGAAAAAUCAGCGUUUGUACCCACUCAGGCUGCCAAGACCUGUGUCCGUCCUUCCAAGCUCAACCUUCAGAGUUCAUGAGGCCCCUUGCCCAGAAUGUCCACAGAGUUCAUGAGGCCCCUUGCCCGGAAUGUCCACAUUUGAAACCUCCCAACACCGAGCCCCAUUUCAAGUAUAACCAGGAGGGAAAAUGGUGCUUGAAAUAAGCAUGCCACAAAGGAAAACCUGCUUUCUCGAAAUGGGCCCUGGCCGCCCAGGCCCUGACCUCCCCGGCCAGGAUGGAACGUUCCAGAGACCCAUUAGUGCCAAAGGCAAAUGAAAA